AUUUAAGCAUAUAAUUAAGCGGAGGAAAAGAAACUAACUAGGAUUCCCUCAGUAACGGCGAGUGAAGCGGGACUAGCUCAGGAUGUGAAUCUGCGCUCUUUUGGCGCCGAAUUGUGGUUUGUAGACUUUGACGUUAUUUGCCGGGCCAAGUUCCUUGGAAAAGGACAGCUGAGAGGGUGAGACUCCCGUCCGCCUGGGAGAAUGAGGCAUUUGUCAACGAGUCGAGUUGUUUGGGAUUGCAGCUCUAAUUUGGUGGUAAAUUCCAUCUAAAGCUAAAUAUUGGUGGGAGACCGAUAGCGUACAAGUACCGUGAGGGAAAGAUGCAAAGAACUUUGAAAAGAGAGUUAAAGAGUACCUGAAAUUGCUGAAACGGAAGCGAAGGAAACCAGUGUUUGUUUGUUCAUAUUUCCCUGGCCACUUGUGGUAUGGGCGCUGUGAGCUUGCGUGUGUUUGCGUUGGUUGAUCCCUUUGGAAGAGCGCAUUCAGAGUUGACGUCU
RNAcentral lists this ribosomal RNA (497 nucleotides) under Pseudo-nitzschia brasiliana. RNAcentral describes it as "eukaryotic LSU rRNA". It matches the Rfam family "Eukaryotic large subunit ribosomal RNA", at positions 32 to 543 of the family's 3401-position model. The record is from RNAcentral. Lineage: Eukaryota; Bacillariophyta; Bacillariophyceae; Bacillariales; Bacillariaceae.